RNAcentral lists this long non-coding RNA (3370 nucleotides) under Aquilegia coerulea. RNAcentral's name for it is "long non-coding RNA (ACOE_LNC001538)". The record is from RNAcentral. Lineage: Eukaryota; Viridiplantae; Streptophyta; Magnoliopsida; Ranunculales; Ranunculaceae.
GGGUGACUAGGAUUAAAACCCCAAUCUUCAUCCCCAUCCCAUCUUUCUCUUCCCCAACUUCUGUCUUUCUCAAACUUCUUCCCCACAUCAUCAUAUCAGUCAUCAAUCAACUUUCUUCAAAGGUAUGUAUUUCUCCUUCAAUCAAACCUCUUUUUAUGAAUUUCAGCAAAAAGAUUGAUAUAAAUAGAUUAGCCAUUUUAUACAUCAACCAAAAGUUAUUUUUUUAUUUGGAUUUUGAAUUUUGUUUUACUUUUCAUUACGAAAAUCUUACCCAUCUCUGAAUUUUGUUUUAUCAAUUGGUCAAAGCCUCAAUUUUGAUAUUUCAAUAUAUUGGUCUUUAAACACCAAACUGCUAUAUGGGUCUGAUUCAUCUGAGCUUGAAUUGAAAAGGGUUUGCCCAUCUGACUUUCUUUUCACUGCAAAACUAAAUGGAUCUGAAAUGUAACUAAAAAUAAGCUUAUUUCCAGAAAUUUCUGAUUCACCAUAAAGAACUUUCCUUGAUUUCCCAAUAGAUUUUUUCAUUGUUGGGGGUUGUUCUCUUGGUAAUAAAUCUUACGGUACUUCCCCCAACAAUGGGAAGUAAUUAAUUCAAAAUUAUAGGCGUACUUGCCUAUAUGAUGAAUCAAAUUCAAGCCCCCUAAAUUGCAGAAAUCAAGUUUUCAACCUUUUUUUUUUAUUCCCUUAAUUGCAUAUUAAGAAAAAUUGGUAAAAUGAUGGCAUAUUAGUUACUAACCCUUUUCUUUAAUGCAGGUGAACAUCCAAGACUUUUCCGGCUAACCAGAUUACAAGGAAGGCAUGAUUAUAUUCAUCUAUGGUCUUAUUCAAUUGGAAGUAAGUUUUUUUUUCAGUAUGAAUACUAACGUUCAUCCUCAAUUUUUAUUGAACAAAUCAAUAUUAACAUCAUUUGCAAAUCCUAUUAUGCACAGACAAUAGUGAAUUGGGUAUGGUUUAUUUUAGAACAUUCUGACAAAGACCUUUUUUCUUUUCGUGAAUUUAGUUCAUUUUUGAUUUUGUUCAAAAAAUUUAAAUUUUUUACGAGGUUGGAAAUGGUGGCAUAUGAAUCAAACUGUUUCAUAAUUUUUCAUCAUCCUUAGAAUAGUGAAGUUUUUAUGAUCAUUAAUGUGAACAACGACUGCACAUCGACUAGAUUUUCAGAUAGUGGUUUACAACACUACUAAAUAUUAUUGGAAGGUAAUCCAUGUACAUUUGAUUGGUAGGCAAUUACAUGAUUGCAUUAUUUGAUUCAUCAUAUAGGCAAGUACGCCUAUAAUUUUGAAUUCCUGAUUCAAGUCAAUAAUUUUGAUAGCUUAAUCACUGCUUUCAAUAGAAGUAUAAAACCUUAAAAAAAAGUGCUAGCAAAUGUUAGCAAAUGAUGGUACUUAGGAUGUACUCAUUAAUAUGACAUGAGUUUAUCAAUAUUAUCUCACUAAGUACACAUUAAUUAAUCAUUUCAGAAUACAUAAAUGUCAGAUUGAAGAAACUGUUUUCAACUGUUUCUUUUAUACGCUUUCAAUGGUUGCAACUGGCAUAUUCUAUAAUUUUGUGGGGAGGUUUUGCGAUGUGGUUUAAGCUAGGAACUGCAAAUUCCCAGAUAGAGGACCUUCUGAUCUCAGCAUACCCUAUGAAACCAUUGAAAUUCUCUAUGCGGUCUAAAUUGUGAAAGGCUCUAGAGUCUAGAUUGAAAUCCCGAGCCAUUUAAUCUCAUUUCUAAGAAUUGUCAGGCCUGAGCACGAAGUUGAUUUUAUUGUUUUUAUAGAGACGUUAAUGAGAUAGAAUCUAAGUUUUGUUUAUCGAGAGACAAUAGCUUUUUAUUGACUGUUUCACUAUGCUCAUAGAUAAUGAAGUGUAGAUUAUACUAAUUAUGUGCUUAUAGGUUCUUAUUGAAUGUUCCUGCUUUGAUCCUGAUUGAAAGAUGAUUAAUGUAUUGUUGUUUGGCUAACUGAUUGUAGGUGUCUAGGCUAUUCGUGUUGCCAAGAUUGUUCAGGUGACAGUAUAACAAGGUAAGACUUUGGUCUUAUUGUUAAUUUUAACAUUAAUAUUUAUCCGAGCUUCACAAAUUGAUAGAAUGAUGGCAUGGCGUUAAAUUUAGAUUGGGUUGUCAACACUUUACACCGUUCAUCUGGGGUUUAUUGUCAACACCUACUGUAGGCGUGCAUAUAUUGGGUUCCUAUGCUUCCAUCAUCUAUUGUUUUAAAAUAUGCAUUGAAACCAAACAGAAUGUUUUUUGUUUUUGUUGGGAUUAAUGUAGUAUCUUUCAUUGAAUCUCAGCAGCCAAAGUACAACUGAGACACAUUAUAAAAAUUGCAGACUCCAUACAACGCUACCAACAUUUUACAAUCUGCUGUUGUCCCCUAUCACUGAGUCGACAUAGAAACUAGCUUAAAUUAAAAACAAUGUAACAGACCUCCAAUUUCACACUAUACAGCAGUACCCCAAGACCUCAACAUCAACACAUUAGCCAUCCCUGCCUUAGCCCUGAACCUGAGCUUUGUUACCACCUGUCAAUCAACAAAUCUUCCUAACUGUCCAGUAAUGCAGUGACCUGCAAAUUGUUUUUUACAUCCACUUACUUGCCCAUGAUAUCCAGCUAUGACCGUAGAGUAAGCUUGAUUUGUUUCACUGCAUUAUCCAUGUCGAACAAUCCAUUUUCAGAAUCAAUUUAAUUCCUGGUAUACCAUACGAUCAAAAUGAUUGCAUAAGGUACAAUGUUCCAUGUAACUUUCACUGAGACCUGGGUUAUUGAAAUAUAUUGACAAUGUUCACAAGUCUACAUACUCCUAUUCAUCAUACUCCUACUCUGAAAUUUUUAUCUUCAAUUUAUUUUGAAUGCAUGUACAUGAUUGAAAUAUAGCUUUAUAAUGGAUAACCUUUACUCCUAAACAAACUGAUUUCUAUCUUUUGAAACAGGGAGACAAAAUCCAUGCGAAGUUUAAUGCUUACGACCUUCAAACCUUCGAAGAAAGAAUCGCUCAAGGAAGAAUUUGUACUUUUACCAAAUUCAAAUCUUGGAAAUCAGAGAGAUAUAAAAGUAACGACUGUGAGAUUGGGUUGCAAAACUAUACCAUUAUAAAGACAAUCGAAGAGGACAUCGCAGAUUUUCCUAUGUACAACUAUGACUUUGAAGAAUAUUCCGAAGUGGCCACCUACUAUAGAAGAGAAAACGACAGAAGCAUAGGUAAUAUGAAUACAUCCAAUUUUAAAGUCUCUAUUACUCAAUACCAAAACCAACUUUGUAUGAUUACUAAUCAUUUUCUUCUUCUUUUUAAUUUGUCAAGAUAUAAUGGGCAGACUACAUUAUUACAAGGAAUCACAACAAAGGACGAUUGGAGAGCGACAAACUUAUGUUCGAGAUAUCUUCCUCAUGAAUGAU